RNAcentral lists this ribosomal RNA (411 nucleotides) under uncultured bacterium. Its description in RNAcentral is "bacterial SSU rRNA". It matches the Rfam family "Bacterial small subunit ribosomal RNA", at positions 100 to 507 of the family's 1533-position model. The record is from RNAcentral.
GGACGGGUGAGUAAUGCUAGGAAUCUGCCUAGUGGUGGGGGAUAACGUUCGGAAACGGACGCUAAUACGCAUACGUCCUACGGGAGAAAAGCGGGGGGAUCUUCGGACCUCGCGCCAUUAGAUGAGCCUAGGUCGGAUUAGCUAGUUGGUGAGGUAAUGGCUCACCAAGGCGACGAUCCGUAACUGGUCUGAGAGGAUGAUCAGUCACACUGGAACUGAGACACGGUCCAGACUCCUACGGGAGGCAGCAGUGGGGAAUAUUGGACAAUGGGCGAAAGCCUGAUCCAGCCAUGCCGCGUGUGUGAAGAAGGUCUACGGAUUGUAAAGCACUUUAAGUUGGGAGGAAGGGUAGUAACCUAAUACGUUGCUACUUUGACGUUACCGACAGAAUAAGCACCGGCUAACUUCGUG